GAUGAACGCUGGCGGCGUGCCUAAUACAUGCAAGUCGAGCGAACAGACGAGGAGCUUGCUCCUCUGACGUUAGCGGCGGAAGGGUGAGUAACACGUGGAUAACCUUCCUAUAAGACUGGGAUAACCUCGGGAAACCGGUGCCAAUACCGGAUAAUAUAUUGAACCGCAUGGUUUAAUAGUGAAAGACGGUUUUGCUGUCACUUAUAGAUGGAUCCGCGCGGCAUUAGCUAGUUGGUAAGGUAAUGGCUUACAAAGGCAAGGUGGCGUAGACGACCUGAGAGAGGGAGCGGCGUCACUGGAACAGUGAGACGGUCCAGAGUCCUACGGGAGGCGCCGGAGGGGAAUCUACCGCACUGGGCGAGAGCCUGACGGGGCAACGCCGCGUGAGUGAUGAAGGUCUUCGGAUCGUAAGACUCUGUUAUGAGGGAAGAACAAAUGUGUAAGUAACUAUGCGCGUCUUGACGGUACCUGAUCAGAAAGCCACGGCUAACUACGUG
Molecule: ribosomal RNA, 497 nt
Filed under: uncultured bacterium
Lineage: Bacteria
Description: partial 16S ribosomal RNA
Rfam family: Bacterial small subunit ribosomal RNA
Source: RNAcentral